AGAAGGUGUACAAGCUCUGGAAAACCUAAUUUUGAGUUGGUCUGGUGAUAAUUUCCAGACCUUCUCUCUGUAACUCUUUACAGAAAUAAAAAGUCCUUUCUCUCCGAGUUCAUCUGCAUCUUGUUAUUGGGCCACGAAAAUAAACAGCCUACCCCUUGGUUUGGUCUGGCCUGCGAGCCAGGAGGCUGCUGGGAUGGUGUUGCAUGCGGCAGCCAGCAGGUUGCUAGGAGACUGUUUUCAAGAGGAUCCUAGCAGCUGCCCGUGAGAUUUUCCCGGGGACCCUCCCGAGGGCGGUCCCUUUCACUUCUGGGAAGAAUGGAGAUCAGGAUUGAAUGGAGAAUGAGUGAGCCGGAUGGAUUCAGUGUGGGCUCUGCCCAGAGCGCAAAGACCCAGUGAAAAGAGGUGGUCAGUAUUGAAACAAAGUCUCCUUACACGGCCCAAUGAUGGAGUUCUGUGAUUUUAUGUUUCAUCUGGCAUCCAUCUUCGAUCUCCAUCCAGCACUGCCAGACCUUUUCUUCCUGUACAUUGAGAUGUAAAUCUUGCCAUCUGAUUUAUCACCUAAGAGUUGUUUCCUUCAAUAUGCAGAUUUAGGGCUACUUACCUGACAACUGCCAGAGUAAUAAACCAGGUUAUCAAGAGCUUGAAAGUCUGAGAUAGGAAAAAAGGAGAUCUCGUAAAUCUAUAAAAUAUACUUCUCUUGGCAUGACUAGUAUGUCUGUGUAUUUAUGUGUUGUGUAUACCAUGUUUCACUACUGAAAAUAUGUAAAAGAGCUCUAAUUAUUGGCUCAAAGAAAAAUAAAAGGCCUUAAAUACUUUUUAAGGAAAAAAGAGACUAGUCAAAUGCUUUUUCAAGUUCACAUGACUAAAGUAAAAUCUUUAAGAAAUAAGCUAGCUUGAAAACUAUCAGUAAAGUAAUAUUAGAAAUGUCUUAAGAAUUGCCAGGGUACAUUUUUUUGUGCACUUAUUUAUUUAUGUAAUUAAUUAACUCAUUAUUAUUUUUUUGAGACAGGGUCUUGCUCUGUCUACCAUUCUGGAGUUCAGUGGCAGGCUCUUGGAUCACUGCCGUCUCCGCCUCCCAGGUUCAAGUGAUUCCUCCUGUCUCAGGUCCUGAGUAGCUGGAACUACAGGGGCCCACACCACACCCUGCUAAUUUUUGUAUUUUUAGCAGAGACAGGGUUUCACCGUGUUAGCUAGGCUAGUCUCAAACUCCUGACCGCAAGUGAUCUGCCUGCCUCGGCCUCCCAAAGUGCUGGGAUUACAGGCAUGAGCCACCACAUCCAGCCUGUUUCCAUUUAUUGGUCACGCCAUUUCAUACUUAUCUCUUCCAAAUAAGAUGAAAUGUCAAAAUUUGGCAUAGAAGCUAUGAAACUAUAAACUCAGACCAAAACAGAAUGAUCUUUGCUGGUGUAAUUUUUCAUAUACAUUAAUACUGGUUUAAUGAAGAUGGCUCCGUCUUGAAUUACUUAGUAUAAUCUCAUGGCCUUAGGUACUCUCUGGCUCACAGAUAUGAAGGAGGUUUGUUCUGGGAAAGGACUGCUACUGUCUUUGUUUCAAAGCUAAACUAUAAACUAAGUUAACGAACAAGAGCAGCUUGGAGGUUAGAAGUGAGGUGGAGUCAGAUCCUUUUCACUGUCUCAGUUAUAAUUUGGCAGUUAUAACUUUAAAUGAUGACUAUUGCAGUUUUCAUAAAUUAGGUAAAUGAUUAAAAUAAAUAAUUAGGUAAAUGUAAUGGGCUAAAUAUUCAUAAA
Molecule: long non-coding RNA, 1748 nt
Organism: Callithrix jacchus (white-tufted-ear marmoset)
Lineage: Eukaryota; Metazoa; Chordata; Mammalia; Primates; Cebidae
Source: Ensembl